UACGUAGGGGGCAAGCGUUGUCCGGAUUUAUUGGGCGUAAAGAGCGUGUAGGCGGCCAGGUAGGUCAGCUGUGAAAACUCGAGGCUCAACCUCGAGAUGGCGGCUGAAACCAUCUGGCUAGAGUCCGGAAGAGGAGAAUGGAAUUCCCGGUGUAGCGGUGAAAUGCGCAGAUAUCGGGAAGAACAACAGUGGCGAAGGCGGUUCUCUGGGACGGUACUGACGCUGAGACGCGAAAGCGUGGGGAGCGAACAGG
RNAcentral lists this ribosomal RNA (253 nucleotides) under uncultured bacterium. RNAcentral's name for it is "partial 16S ribosomal RNA". It matches the Rfam family "Bacterial small subunit ribosomal RNA", at positions 524 to 776 of the family's 1533-position model. The record is from RNAcentral.